AUCCCGUUCUUUGUAGUUUUUUUUGUGGGGAAAUCAACAUUUUGGUCCAUCAACUGUUUCUUAACUGUCAAUGUAAUCCAUAAUUUUCAAUUUCAACCAAUUUAAUCAUCGAAUUGUUUAAAAUUUUGCCAAUUAAACCCUUUCAGAGACCAAAUUGAUGAAAUUUUUAAAAUGUGAAAAUCACCAUUUUAGUCACUAAAAGAUUUAAUUGACGAAAUUUUAAAUAAUUCGAUAAUCAAAUUGGUUGAAA
Ipomoea nil (Japanese morning glory) is the source of this 250-nucleotide long non-coding RNA. RefSeq lists it as uncharacterized. NCBI's taxonomy places the organism in Eukaryota, Viridiplantae, Streptophyta, Magnoliopsida, Solanales, Convolvulaceae. The record is from RefSeq and is a predicted model, not a curated record. The transcript has 3 exons.